RNAcentral lists this non-coding RNA (77 nucleotides) under Geobacteraceae bacterium. RNAcentral's name for it is "c-di-GMP sequence". It matches the Rfam family "c-di-GMP-I riboswitch aptamer". From Rfam's summary of the family: GEMM was predicted in a large-scale screen for bacterial structured RNA regulatory elements. Lineage: Bacteria; Pseudomonadati; Thermodesulfobacteriota; Desulfuromonadia; Geobacterales; Geobacteraceae. The record is from RNAcentral.
ACAGGAAAAUACUAAACCAUCCGCGAGGGUGGGACGGAAAGCUCAUUGGGUCUCCACGAGACAGCCGGGUUGCCGAA